GAGCGGGGACUUCUCGGGCUCCGAGUGUGCGCCUUGUGCAUUUCUGUGUUUGUGUGAUCAAGCUUUAAUGAAACAGAGUGGCUCUGAAGCUGGUGGCAGGCUCGUGCCCUUGGCUCCCAGGGCCUACCUCUGAGUACUCACUGCCUCAGAGCCUCCGGUCGGUCUUAGGGGUUGGGAUAGGUAAAGGGGCAGCCAUGGAAGAGUCCUGUGUGAAUGUGUGUGGGUGCCUGUAAAGGUGCCUACAGCUGAGCCUGGACCAGAGCAGACUGAAUCCCAGAAUGACCUCCUUAAUACUUCGUGCAAUUUCCCAUAAGAAGCCCACAGUUAAAGCCACUCAGUUUGCUGGACACCUGCUGACUGGCCGAAAGCAGGCCCAGAUAGGAAGGAGACACAGGCCCAGAGAGGUGACAUCUCCGGCCUGAGUUCGCACAGAAGUCACUAAAGGGGCCAGAGCUGGAUCCUUGGGUCACCUGGGUCCCUGAACCGUGCUCUGUCCUGCCAUCUCCCCCUGUCAGGGCUUCUGGCCCUGUGGCUCUAUCAUCCGUUAAUCAGUGGUGAUACCCGGGUCCAGCUCCUCCCUCACACCAGGACAGGCAAGGACACUGGGCAAGUCUGUCC
This is a long non-coding RNA of Bos taurus (domestic cattle), 618 nucleotides long. NCBI's taxonomy places the organism in Eukaryota, Metazoa, Chordata, Mammalia, Artiodactyla, Bovidae. The record is from Ensembl.